RNAcentral lists this ribosomal RNA (295 nucleotides) under uncultured bacterium. Its description in RNAcentral is "partial 16S ribosomal RNA". It matches the Rfam family "Bacterial small subunit ribosomal RNA", at positions 30 to 327 of the family's 1533-position model. The record is from RNAcentral.
AUUGAACGCUGGCGGCAUGCCUUACACAUGCAAGUCGAACGGCAGCACGGGAGCAAUCCUGGUGGCGAGUGGCGAACGGGUGAGUAAUAUAUCGGAACGUGCCCAGUCGUGGGGGAUAACGUAGCGAAGCUACGCUAAUACCGCAUACGAUCUACGGAUGAAAGCGGGGGAUCGCAAGACCUCGCGCGAUUGGAGCGGCCGAUAUCAGAUUAGGUAGUUGUGAGGUAAAGGCUCACCAAGCCGACGAUCUGUAGCUGGUCUGAGAGGACGACCAGCCACACUGGGACUGAGACAC